AGAACCCUCAGAGGCUACAACCCAACACCAUCACCUAAACCAAGCUGGAGUACGGUAGGGUAGAGGGAAUUUCCGGUGGAGCAGUGAAAUGCGUAGAGAUCGGAAAGAACACCAACGGUGAAAGCACUCUACUGGGCUGACACUGACUCUGAGAGACAAAAGCUAGGGGAGCGAAUGGGAUUAGAUACCCCACUAGUCAAUUUGCAACUAUAUUAAGCAAAGAUUACUGUUUCCUGUCCACAAGUGGGCAAUGAAGGUUCUAUCAAGUAUUCC
This 273-nucleotide non-coding RNA is filed under the name Solanum lycopersicum (tomato). RNAcentral describes it as "Bacterial small subunit ribosomal RNA". It matches the Rfam family "Bacterial small subunit ribosomal RNA", at positions 595 to 870 of the family's 1533-position model. Lineage: Eukaryota; Viridiplantae; Streptophyta; Magnoliopsida; Solanales; Solanaceae. The record is from Rfam by way of RNAcentral.